AACGAACGCUGGCGGCAGGCCUCAAACAUGCAAGUCUAGGGGGUGUAGCAAUACAUCACCGGCGGACGGGUGCGUAACACGUGGGAAUAUACCUUUCGGUACGGAACAACUGCGGGAAACUUCAGCUAAUACCGUAUACGUCCUAGCGGAGAAAGAUUUAUCGCCGAAGGAUUAGCCCGCGUUCGAUUAGCUAGUUGGUGGGGUAAUGGCCCACCAAGGCGACGAUCGAUAGCUGUUCUGAGAGGAAGAUCAGCCACACUGGGACUGAGACACGGCCCAGACUCCUACGGGAGGCAGCAGUUGGGAAUCUUGGACAAUGGGGGAAACCCGUGAUCCAGCCAUGCCGCGUGAGUGAUGAAGGCCUUCGGUUGUAAAC
Molecule: ribosomal RNA, 376 nt
Filed under: uncultured bacterium
Lineage: Bacteria
Description: bacterial SSU rRNA
Rfam family: Bacterial small subunit ribosomal RNA
Source: RNAcentral